CCUACGGGAGGCUGCAGUGAGGAAUAUUGGUCAAUGGACGAGAGUCUGAACCAGCCAAGUAGCGUGAAGGAUGACUGCCCUAUGGGUUGUAAACUUCUUUUAUAUGGGAAUAAAAUGUUCCACGUGUGGGAUUUUGUAUGUACCAUAUGAAUAAGGAUCGGCUAACUCCGUGCCAGCAGCCGCGGUAAUACGGAGGAUCCGAGCGUUAUCCGGAUUUAUUGGGUUUAAAGGGAGCGUAGGUGGAUUGUUAAGUCAGUUGUGAAAGUUUGCGGCUCAACCGUAAAAUUGCAGUUGAAACUGGCAGGCUUGAGUACAGUAGAGGUAGGCGGAAUGCGUGGUGUAGCGGUGAAAUGCUUAGAUAUCACGAAGAACUCCGAUUGCGAAGGCAGCAUACCGGCUCCAUACUGACGCUGAGGCACGAAAGCGUGGGGAUCGAACAGGAUUAGAUACCCGUGUAGUC
RNAcentral lists this ribosomal RNA (460 nucleotides) under uncultured bacterium. RNAcentral describes it as "partial 16S ribosomal RNA". It matches the Rfam family "Bacterial small subunit ribosomal RNA", at positions 338 to 795 of the family's 1533-position model. The record is from RNAcentral.